This 251-nucleotide ribosomal RNA is filed under the name uncultured bacterium. RNAcentral describes it as "partial 16S ribosomal RNA". It matches the Rfam family "Archaeal small subunit ribosomal RNA", at positions 474 to 727 of the family's 1478-position model. The record is from RNAcentral.
UACCAGCACCCCGAGUGGUCGGGACGUUUAUUGGGCCUAAAGCAUCCGUAGCCGGUUCUACAAGUCUUCCAUUAAAUCCAACUGCUUAACAGGUGGGCUGCGGAAGAUACUAUAGAGCUAGGAGGCGGGAGAGGCAAGCGUACUCGGAUGGUGAAGGGUAAAUCCGUGAUCCAUUGAAGACCACCAGUGGCGAAGGCGGCUUGCCAGAACGCGCUCGACGGUGAGGGAUGAAAGCUGGGGGAGCAAACCGG